Molecule: long non-coding RNA, 573 nt
Organism: Dicentrarchus labrax (European seabass)
Lineage: Eukaryota; Metazoa; Chordata; Actinopteri; Moronidae
Exons: 2
Source: RefSeq, a predicted model, not a curated record
CUCAAUAUUUAGAUGUGACUCUUGUCCACACCCAUUCAUUCAAUUGCUCUAAGUAAACGACAUCUGGUUAUAUUACACUGGAUUGACUGAUAAUGAUGUUGGUGUGGCCAGGAGUCAACUUAGCCCAACACAUACUGCUUUAUUGUUCAGUGACGUUGGACUGGCUGGUGUUCCUGCUCACUUCCUGUAAAAUGCACCUCCUGACCCUCAACAUCACACACCUGCUGUUAUUCGGCCAACAUACACCUUUCUAACGCAGCACACUGAAGCCAUGUAAUAUUUUUUUUAUAUUCUGUCAUGACUAUGAAAUGUUAUUGAUGUUACAAUGUAUAUUUAUUUAACCUCAUAAAAAGGUAUCCACCUUGUGUUUUAAUGUAAAGGUCUGGGAUUAUUUAUUUUUUCACAGCCCUUCAUAAAUGGGUACAUAUAUGGGACACUGUGUUUUCAUGGUGACAUUUGUGUGCACACUUAUAAGUCAAUACAUCACUUACACCACAGUUUCUCCUGUACAGUAUAAAAUGACAAUUGAAACAAAUACUCAAGUUUGUAUUGCAAUAAAAACCCUGUGUGUUA